ACCAAAAGACAAAUAAAUGCAUACAUGUGCAGAAGAGGAUAUAAUAAAACACAAAGGAUUAAUGUAAAUGUUGAUCUAUAUUAUCCUGAACCAUUAAAUGUGGCCCCAACUGUAGUCAUUAAGGAUGUUGAUAUUUCUCACAGAAUAGCAAAUUUACUGAAUGGAAUGACUUGAAGCAUAUACAUGUAAAUAAUGAAUCAACAACUUACAGAAAUCCCAUUUCACCUUUGUUCUGUAGCAAACAGGAAGGAUUCAGUAUGUUGAGUUGAGGCAUAGGCAGAUAUAGAAGCAUACAUAUAGAUUAUAUGAUGUUGGGGCCUGCGUGACUCCCCUCAUGCCAAGUAGGAAGGUUGCCAACAUUCUUUGACACGCUUCUUAGAUGGCAUUCAGGGAGCCAGGCAGGAACAAUUUCAGAUAAAAGAUCAGCCAAUUCGCCUUAGUUACCUGUCAACUUUCUUAACCUUCAAAGCAGAUAAAAUUUAGCACUGUACAUGCGCAUUUUCUUGCCCAUUUCUUGGCGUACUCAUAGGUUCAAGAUUACUAUAGCUAUUUGUGCCCUCCUACAGUAAUCGAGAACUAGUUGAGUAAGAACCUACAGUUGAAUAUAUAUCAGAGAUGAUAUGAUAAAAACUGAGAGAAUUAUAUUCCUUAUGUGAGGGAAGUGUGAAUUCUCUCGCUUUCUCUGCAUCGAUCCUUGGAAGGAAAGAACAGUAGAAACAUGGAUUUUAAAGAGUGAUAUAUAUAGAAAAAGAAGAAGGAAAGGAGACAAAGACAGCAGAAAGUCCAUGGAAGAGGGGAGAUGCAGAUCGUGAAGAAGGCGGCAACGAAGGCUUAUUUCCAACAAAUAGUUCCAUGGAUACGGCCAAAGUUGCCUGGGUUUUACAGGUAGCCUCCUUUGGAUUUUCUUGCCUUGGUAAAGGCGAUCCACCACACUAUUCCCUUUCUUUUCUUUUAUUCUCUCUUACUUUUCUUUUUUAAAGUAAUUAAGAAAUUUAAUUAGAAUUAAGACUAAUUAAUUAUCAUUCAAAUGAGGAUAUUGUUUUUAUUGGUGGAAUGGUUAACGGCUUUUG
Molecule: unclassified non-coding RNA, 1070 nt
Filed under: Hevea brasiliensis (rubber tree)
Lineage: Eukaryota; Viridiplantae; Streptophyta; Magnoliopsida; Malpighiales; Euphorbiaceae
Source: RNAcentral